This 306-nucleotide RNase P RNA is filed under the name Chlorobiota bacterium. Its description in RNAcentral is "RNase P RNA component class A". It matches the Rfam family "Bacterial RNase P class A". Rfam says of the family: Ribonuclease P (RNase P) is a ubiquitous endoribonuclease, found in archaea, bacteria and eukarya as well as chloroplasts and mitochondria. Its best characterised activity is the generation of mature 5'-ends of tRNAs by cleaving the 5'-leader elements of precursor-tRNAs. Cellular RNase Ps are ribonucleoproteins. The record is from RNAcentral. Lineage: Bacteria; Pseudomonadati; Chlorobiota.
UAAGUAAAUUGCCUUAUCGCUGUUCAAUUUAUUGAAUGGAGGAAAGUCCGAACACCAUAGUGCAACAUAGUGGUUAACAGCCACCAGUCGUGAGAUUAGGAAAAGUGCAACAGAAAGAAUGUACAGGUAAUGCUGUAGUGAAAUCAGGUAAACUCUAUGUGGUGCAAUGUCAUGUAAACCAACGUUUGAGAGUUGCACGCUCGAUGUUGGAGGGUAGGCAGCUAAAGUGAAUUGGCAACAACUCACUCAGAUAAAUGAUAGGGACUCUUUUGAGUACAGAAUUCGGCUUAUAGAUUUACUUACAUA